CAGUGACUCUGUUCAACGGCCGCGGUAUCCUAACCGUGCGAAGGUAGCGUAAUCACUUGUUCUUUAAAUGUGGACUAGUAUGAAUGGCAUCACGAAGGUUAUACUGUCUCCUUUUUCUAAUCAGUGAAACUAAUCUCCCCGUGAAGAAGCGAGGAUAAAACUAUAAGACGAGAAGACCCUAUGGAGCUUUAAACAUUUAUAACACUUGCUAAAUAAAAUACAAAUUUCAGAAUUAUUUACUCUUUAAGCAACUUGUCUAUAAGUUUUUGGUUGGGGUGACCGCGGAGCAUAAUACAACCUCCAUGUUGAAAGAUCUAUUUCUAAGCUAAGAGCUACACCUCUAAGCAUCAACAUAUUGACAUCCAUUGACCCAAUAUAUUUGAACAACGAACCAAGUUACCCUAGGGAUAACAGCGCAAUCCACUUCAAGAGCUCCUAUCGACAAGUGGGUUUACGACCUCGAUGUUGGAUCAGGGUUCCCAGUGGUGCAGCCGCUACUAAA
Molecule: ribosomal RNA, 502 nt
Rfam family: Bacterial large subunit ribosomal RNA